GGGCCGUUAGCUCAGGUGGUAGAGCACCGGACUUUUAAUCCGGGUGUCGCAGGUUCGAGUCCUGCAUGGCUCACCA
RNAcentral lists this transfer RNA (76 nucleotides) under Actinomycetota bacterium. RNAcentral's name for it is "Actinobacteria bacterium (sediment metagenome) tRNA-Lys". It matches the Rfam family "tRNA". Rfam says of the family: Transfer RNA (tRNA) molecules are approximately 80 nucleotides in length. Their secondary structure includes four short double-helical elements and three loops (D, anti-codon, and T loops). Further hydrogen bonds mediate the characteristic L-shaped molecular structure. tRNAs have two regions of fundamental functional importance: the anti-codon, which is responsible for specific mRNA codon recognition, and the 3' end, to which the tRNAs corresponding amino acid is attached (by aminoacyl-tRNA synthetases). tRNAs cope with the degeneracy of the genetic code in two manners: having more than one tRNA (with a specific anti-codon) for a particular amino acid; and 'wobble' base-pairing, i.e. permitting non-standard base-pairing at the 3rd anti-codon position. Lineage: Bacteria; Bacillati; Actinomycetota. The record is from RNAcentral.